CCAAACUCUGGAACUGAAAUCCCUACCAAGGCAAAUAUCUAGAGAAGAGAGGUCUAUGGCCGGAGGGAGCAGAGUUAAGCAUAAAUAUGGUAAGGUGGAGGUAGAGCUCGAGAAGGCUCCAAGGGAGGUGCGACAGGGGUGGAGAGUGCUCUCAUUUGGCUCUCUCUUUUCAUGGGACUCGGUUAGGAUUUUGCCCAAUCUCCAAGGUCUUGAUGGACGGAGGAAGAUUGACAACUUCUGACAAGUCAUGCCAAGCCCCUAUUUCCAGCAAUUCUAGGCAUGGAAGGAAGGGAUGGCUGGCUGAUGAUGACAGCUUCAGUACAGCUGUAGACGCCCUGGCCUUACUACUAGACAUUGGAAUUAAUGAUGGCUUAUCCUCCUGCUGACUGAAUAUGAUCAGAAUAAUGUAUUGAGUGGGAUGGCUUCAUUCUGGAUGGGUUGGUAUAAUUCACCCAACCAAACAAAAUGAUCAUUAUUAUUUUGAACCAUUCCAUACAUGAUCCAAAUCAUACAAGCAACCAAACACACCCUAAGUGUCGUCUAAGUCUGCUCGGCAGGCAGUCGGCACAUCCAGUAAUGCUUCUUUCUCUGACAAUGAAGGAGACCGCAUUGCAAAGGAUGUUGAAGCCUGAAGAAAGGCUCAAUUGUGAAUUCGAGUUGGACGUAUAGAGUAGAUCAUCGCCUGCCUAAUCUUUCACCUUUGGGUUAACGACUGUGGCAUAACAUAUCAUUAGAUGCUUGCACCUUCAGUUUAGACCUUGUAAGACAGGAAGAGAACUGGGAGCCAGUGGCAUGAUUUAGCAAUGCAGCAAUCUUAGUGCAAUAAAUGAGAGGUGAUUUAGUUGUAAUAGUCAAUUUACAGUUCCGUUAUCAUGUACUCCUCCCUCCCUCCUUCCUCCAUGCAGCUCCAAGCCUUGAGGGAGUGUGCGUGGAGGGGGGCUUGAGAACCCCCCCUAUAUACCCCACUAGAUUCACCCCAAGCAAUUUCAAGCUAGGUGACAAGUUCCAAAAAUCCAUGGACAAAGUUUGUUGAGCUCUGCACUCGACCAAUAGCAAGCGAUAGGUACACCUUGGUGCAACUUUUAUUCAUCAAGUUGGAAAAUAAAGGCCCCCUCUUCUUGAUCAAGUAUACAUAAGGAUCCGGAAGGAUUAAUUUACUUGUAGGGACGUGAUCUAAUCAUCUUUCAUCUAUUUUUUGAUUCCCUUGAGAUUGAAAACACCGUCCAUAAUCAUAGUAGAUUUAAUAUUGUCACAAUAUAACUAACGCCACCACAUGGAGCAGCUCGCGACCUCUAUGCUUCUUCUUCG
RNAcentral lists this long non-coding RNA (1308 nucleotides) under Setaria viridis. RNAcentral describes it as "long non-coding RNA (SVIR_LNC006338)". The record is from RNAcentral. Lineage: Eukaryota; Viridiplantae; Streptophyta; Magnoliopsida; Poales; Poaceae.